Molecule: long non-coding RNA, 287 nt
Organism: Spea bombifrons (plains spadefoot toad)
Lineage: Eukaryota; Metazoa; Chordata; Amphibia; Anura; Pelobatidae
Exons: 3
Source: RefSeq, a predicted model, not a curated record
CUCAAACAACCAGCCAAACUGAGUGGAUUAAGCUGAAUUUAAAUGAAUUUUAUGUUUUCGCUACCAUCACUGAACUCAGGAUUUUCUAUCCACAAUUUGUUGUAAACGUUAACUCGCCAAAUGACACAGCGUCCAUACUCAUUAAGGAAGAUGUUCUCCAGAACACAACUUUGUUGGUGUCAAUUUUAAGUAAAAUAGAACUGCAAAAUAUUACUAAAUAUGUCCAAGCCAUUACAUCUGCUGCAACAGAGGCCAACGUAUCAGUGGAAAAAAUAACAAAAGUAAAG